Molecule: ribosomal RNA, 468 nt
Filed under: uncultured bacterium
Lineage: Bacteria
Description: partial 16S ribosomal RNA
Rfam family: Bacterial small subunit ribosomal RNA
Source: RNAcentral
GACGAGCGCUGGCGGCGUGCUUAACACAUGCAAGUCGAACGGACAGGCCCUGCUUUUGUGGGGUGCUCGAGUGGCGAACGGGUGAGUAACACGUGAGUAACCUGCCCUUGACUUUGGGAUAACUUCAGGAAACUGGGUCUAAUACCGGAUAUGAGCUCCUGCUGCAUGUUGGGGGUUGGAAAGUUUCGGCGGUUGGGGAUGGACUCGCGGCUUAUCAGCUUGUUGGUGGGGUAGUGGCUUACCAAGGCUUUGACGGGUAGCCGGCCUGAGAGGGUGACCGGCGACAUUGGGACUGAGAGACGGCCCAGACUCCUACGGGAGGCAGCAGUGGGGAGUAUUGCACAAUGGGCGGAAGCCUGAUGCAGAAACGCCGCGUGCGGAAUGACGGCCUUCGGGUGGUAAACAGCUGUCGACUGUGACGAAGCGUGAGUGACGGUAAUGGGUAAAGAAGCACCGGCUAACUACGUG